RNAcentral lists this ribosomal RNA (888 nucleotides) under Acinetobacter sp. UFLA03_165. RNAcentral describes it as "bacterial SSU rRNA". It matches the Rfam family "Bacterial small subunit ribosomal RNA", at positions 80 to 963 of the family's 1533-position model. Lineage: Bacteria; Pseudomonadati; Pseudomonadota; Gammaproteobacteria; Moraxellales; Moraxellaceae. The record is from RNAcentral.
UUGCUACUGAUCUUAGCGGCGGACGGGUGAGUAAUGCUUAGGAAUCUGCCUAUUAGUGGGGGACAACAUUUCGAAAGGAAUGCUAAUACCGCAUACGUCCUACGGGAGAAAGCAGGGGAUCUUCGGACCUUGCGCUAAUAGAUGAGCCUAAGUCGGAUUAGCUAGUUGGUGGGGUAAAGGCCUACCAAGGCGACGAUCUGUAGCGGGUCUGAGAGGAUGAUCCGCCACACUGGGACUGAGACACGGCCCAGACUCCUACGGGAGGCAGCAGUGGGGAAUAUUGGACAAUGGGCGCAAGCCUGAUCCAGCCAUGCCGCGUGUGUGAAGAAGGCCUUAUGGUUGUAAAGCACUUUAAGCGAGGAGGAGGCUACUUUAGUUAAUACCUAGAGAUAGUGGACGUUACUCGCAGAAUAAGCACCGGCUAACUCUGUGCCAGCAGCCGCGGUAAUACAGAGGGUGCAAGCGUUAAUCGGAUUUACUGGGCGUAAAGCGCGCGUAGGCGGCUAAUUAAGUCAAAUGUGAAAUCCCCGAGCUUAACUUGGGAAUUGCAUUCGAUACUGGUUAGCUAGAGUGUGGGAGAGGAUGGUAGAAUUCCAGGUGUAGCGGUGAAAUGCGUAGAGAUCUGGAGGAAUACCGAUGGCGAAGGCAGCCAUCUGGCCUAACACUGACGCUGAGGUGCGAAAGCAUGGGGAGCAAACAGGAUUAGAUACCCUGGUAGUCCAUGCCGUAAACGAUGUCUACUAGCCGUUGGGGCCUUUGAGGCUUUAGUGGCGCAGCUAACGCGAUAAGUAGACCGCCUGGGGAGUACGGUCGCAAGACUAAAACUCAAAUGAAUUGACGGGGGCCCGCACAAGCGGUGGAGCAUGUGGUUUAAUUCGAUGCAACGCG